CGCAUGUAUGUAAAAAGAUGGCUUCCGCAAUAUUAUUAUUAUUAUGUGCACGAUCGCUUUAUAUGUACGGCGUGUUACUUUAAUGUUCUCAAAUAAAGUUAUCAAGAAUCUGAAACAUGUCUGAUCCGGUUUUAGUCUCGUUUCACGAACAACUAAAGCAAUGCUUUGAGGUUUUGAAAGUGAAUAAAAGUGUUUGGGAAGGUGUGUUGAUUGAAUGCACACCUCUUAUGAGUUCUCUUGGAAACCUCUCGAAUCAGCUGAAGGCGCUGAAAAACGUUCAGCUAGCGAACACACCUCUGGCCCGCUUCCCUCGUUUACAAGAACGCCUUCAUUAUAAACUUUCACUGGCCGUGGAUACAGUUCUGGAAAAGUUAGCUAAGAAAAUGGAUGCUCUUCAGACAGUGAGGAACACCAUCAGUCAGCACGUGGCUGCUGUUUUCCAGUAUUAUGAGAAACACACAGACAGUCUUGACAUUGCAUGUUGUGUCAACAGAUCAGCCACCUGUCCGUCCAUCUCAGAUAUGUUGGAGUGGCUUCAAGAUGCAGAUAGAUAUUUCCGCAUCCAAUUACUUCAGAGAAGAAACUUUCUGCAGAUGCUAACACCCACCGAUGUCACAUUAAUGGAAACAGCACCAAAGAGAUGGGAAUCUCUGCAGUCGCCAACUAAAGAGGAGAGAAUUACAGAUGCACUGUGUCAAGUAUCAUUCUUCAUGGACAUGUAAGCUAAAUAACAGCUUGGAGAUGAUUGGCAGGCCGCUGCCACGUCUUGUGCCUGCUAACUCGUCUUAGUAUGGCAUCAAGUAUUAAAGGGCCACCAGAGUCCUUGAAGAGACAUUUUAUUACCUGAAGGGUUUAACAUGGAGUUGGCCCACCCUUUGCAGCUAUACCAGCUUCAACUCUUCUUUGAAGACUUUUUAAGGUUUAGGAGUGUGUUUAUGGGAAUUUUUGACCAUUCUUCUAAAAGCACAUUUGUAAGGUCAGACACUGAUGUAAGACUCCGCUCUAAUUCAUCCCAAAGAUCUUCUAUUGGGUUGAGGUCAGGACUCUGUGCAGGCCAGUCAAGUAGUGGUGGGCGAUACUGCAAAUUUUGGUAUCGAUCCGAUACCAAAUACAUAUAGGGUCAGUAUUGCCGAUUCCGAUACCAAUCCGAUACUUUUUACUUAAAAAAAUACUUUUGUGUAGGGGAGAGCAGUAUGUCAUUAUUUCUGAGGUGAAUGAAUGAUAAAUUCUUUAGGCUUUUUUAUUAAAGUAUUGAAGUCCACAAAAUUAU
Misgurnus anguillicaudatus (oriental weatherfish) is the source of this 1270-nucleotide non-coding RNA. The record is from RefSeq and is a predicted model, not a curated record. NCBI's taxonomy places the organism in Eukaryota, Metazoa, Chordata, Actinopteri, Cypriniformes, Cobitidae.